AUGAACGCUGGCGGCGUGCCUCAUACAUGCAAGUCGAGCGAACGGACGAGAGGCUUGCUUCUCUGAUGUUAGCGGCGGACGGGUGAGUAACACGUGGAUAACCUACCUAUAAGACUGGGAUAACUUCGGGAAACCGGAGCUAAUACCGGAUAAUAUUUUGAACCGCAUGGUUCAAAAGUGAAAGACGGUCUUGCUGUCACUUAUAGAUGGAUCCGCGCUGCAUUAGCUAGUUGGUAAGGUAACGGCUUACCAAGGCAACGAUGCAUAGCCGACCUGAGAGGGUGAUCGGCCACACUGGAACUGAGACACGGUCCAGACUCCUACGGGAGGCAGCAGCAGGGAAUCUUCCGCAAUGGGCGAAAGCCUGACGGAGCAACGCCGCGUGAGUGAUGAAGGUCUUCGGAUCGUAAAACUCUGUUAUUAGGGAAGAACAUAUGUGUAAGUAACUGUGCACAUCUUGACGGUACCUAAUCAGAAAGCCACGGCUAACUACGUG
This 496-nucleotide ribosomal RNA is filed under the name uncultured bacterium. Its description in RNAcentral is "partial 16S ribosomal RNA". It matches the Rfam family "Bacterial small subunit ribosomal RNA", at positions 29 to 507 of the family's 1533-position model. The record is from RNAcentral.